Molecule: long non-coding RNA, 1105 nt
Organism: Erinaceus europaeus (western European hedgehog)
Lineage: Eukaryota; Metazoa; Chordata; Mammalia; Eulipotyphla; Erinaceidae
Exons: 3
Source: RefSeq, a predicted model, not a curated record
AUGAAACCAGCCGCUCUGUUUAGUAGGGCUGACCCAUGGAGGAGGUGGCCUUCCAGGGACUCCAGGACAGCUCGUGCUUGGUCGCAAGCCAGCGACCGUACGGGCCGGGACAUGAGCUGGCUCCCCGCACCGGCUUUCCUGGAGGACAUCCUCUCGCCUCCAACUCAAAGGCCAGGACCCACUUGCCAGAGCCUGGCACCUCAGGCACGGGAGGCGGGAGGCAUCCAGACACUCUCGUUUAGACUCUGAUGCAGUGCCAGGAAUUGAACCCAGGACCUCCCGCGUGGAAGGCAUGUACUUUACUGCUCAGCCACCUGUGUAGCUCCUGUGUGGUGGCGGGAGGCUCAGACCCCGGACUUUCUGCGUGGGAGGCCACAGACGCUUCCGGGUGAUCGGGCUCCCGGCCCCGUGCCCCUGCGCUGAACCUGCGCUCACGCAGCACGGCCAGACAUGCGGUAAUGCCCCACGUGCCCCGGGGGCAGUCCCACUAACUCCCUUUUUUCCUGUCUUGUGAAGCUUUCUAUUCCCCCUGCGGGUCCCCACAGUGGGAAUAGAGUGGGGGGCUCGAACCCAGAUCCUUGCAGGGGUGACUGCACUCUGUACACCAUGUGCGCUAACCCGCCUGGCCUGCCCUGCGCUGCCUCACUGUGUUUUCACAGAUGGUGACCCUGUAGGUGGGGGCCACGGAGCACUCCGACCAGGCCGUGCCAGCCCCGCUCAGUUCCACAGGCUGCCUGGCUACUCCCGCGACAGGGAUGGCCCAGGGACACGGCGGGCUUCCGCCCGUCCUGGCUGACGCCUUCAAGGUGGGCUUUGAAUUCAAGACCCUGGGUUCAAAGAGGCUCGCCUGCCUGCUGGGCCCAGGCCAGGGCCGAUCAGCACAGUGAAUGUCGCAAGUGGAUAGAUGGCCCACUCUGGUCAUGCCAGCCUGUUCUCUCGGCCUCCAGCGUGCUGCAUCUUCAUCCCCGGCAGGCUAACCCUGCCAAAAGCCUGCACCGCAUGCCGCUAUGCUGCGCCCAGCCCAACCAGGCUGAUCCUGCUGAUCCUGGCCGUCUGGUCAAGCCGACAGCAGACCAGGCGCACAGGCUUGCUGCCAACACCCCCA